GGCCUGGGGGUGACCCAUCCCUACCCCCAACCCCACAGGGGCCGUGCGAAGUUUUGGGUCGGCCAAAGCCCGCUAUGAUUUCUGCGCCCGCGACCGGACGGAGCUGACGCUGCGGGAAGGGGACAUCAUCCGCGUCCUCAGCAAGAAGGGGCACCCAGGAUGGUGGAAAGGGGAGAUCUACGGGCGGGUCGGAUGGUUCCCCGCAAACUACGUGGAGGAGGAUUACUCGGAGUAUUGCUGACCGCAGGACCCCUAAAUGUCCCCACCCUAUAUCCCCAACCCCACACCUUCUGCACCCCCCUUUGAGGUCACUGCAUCCUCCCCUCCCCUUUAAUUAAUUUAUGCCUCCUCUUGCCUACAAGGGAGCAAUAAAAAGGGUGAGGACGAG
This is a non-coding RNA of Meleagris gallopavo (turkey), 388 nucleotides long. NCBI's taxonomy places the organism in Eukaryota, Metazoa, Chordata, Aves, Galliformes, Phasianidae. The record is from RefSeq and is a predicted model, not a curated record.